RNAcentral lists this ribosomal RNA (264 nucleotides) under Mesorhizobium sp. RNAcentral describes it as "partial 16S ribosomal RNA". It matches the Rfam family "Bacterial small subunit ribosomal RNA", at positions 1 to 295 of the family's 1533-position model. Lineage: Bacteria; Pseudomonadati; Pseudomonadota; Alphaproteobacteria; Hyphomicrobiales; Phyllobacteriaceae. The record is from RNAcentral.
CAACAUGAGAGUUUGAUCCUGGCUCAGAACGAACGCUGGCGGCAGGCUUAACACAUGCAAGUCGAGCGCCCCGCAAGGGGAGCGGCAGACGGGUGAGUAACGCGUGGGAAUCUACCCAUCUCUACGGAACAACUCCGGGAAACUGGAGCUAAUACCGUAUACGUCCUUUUGGAGAAAGAUUUAUCGGAGAUGGAUGAGCCCGCGUUGGAUUAGCUAGUUGGUGGGGUAAAGGCCUACCAAGGCGACGAUCCAUAGCUGGUCUGA